AUCCGCUGAUCCCACUGAUCCAUCCGCUCCGCUAAUCCCUCCGUCAUUUCCUCCCCUUCCGCUCCGCUAAUCCCUUCAUCACUUCCUCCCCUGCCAAAAAUCCCUGCCGUUGGCGUCCCAUGGAGGCAGGCACGCAGCCUGUACGCGCCGGUCAUCGCCACCGCUCCUCUGCUCCGCCGGCCGUCCACGCCCAAACCAUGCCUCCUGCCCUCCACAUCUCCCCACACGGCACCGCCUCCGCCGGCCCUCCACGGGCCUCUUCGGCGCCCAACCACCCGCGGGCCUCUUCGGCGCCCCUCACCCGCCGGCCACCGCCCUCCCAGUGGUCCCUCUCACCGCCCCCUUCUCGGUGCCCACCAGCCGUCCUCCCGGCGCUCCCCACUCCACCACACGAAGACAAAGUCGAGACGGCACCAGGUGCCAGCAUCGCCGGCUCGCCGCACUUCGCUGGCCAACAAUCGCCACGGGCGCUCCCUGAUCCCUUCGCGCGGCAACAGCAACGGGUGCCCCAGUCCCCUCCAUGCGUCCGUGCACUCCGCCUGGGAGUUGCUCUAUUCCCAGGAGAGUCAAGACUUCUAUCUCAUAAGAUAUUCAAUGGAUAUUUUGUGAAACUAUUCUACCUCGGUGUUUGUCCAGAAGAAACAAACUCAUGUUCAGGAAGAGCUAUUUUGUGCACAUGAGUUGCUAUUGGCAGUGGAAAGAUUGUCUAUGUAGAGAGCUUAGAGAAAAAAGUGAGUGGUUCAAUUUUAUGUGAUGGGAAUGUUCACAAGGCAUCUUAAUUUUUGGAGAGAUAUAAACCCAUAAAGAAUUCAGAAUUGUGCUUGUUCACAGCUUUCUUUCAGUGAUUAGUAGUUGAUUUGCUUUGCAAAACAAUUAUAUUAUAGGUUAACUUGUCUAUAUAUUGCUUCACAUUUGUGUGUUUUAAGGUGAAUUCCGUACAGAUUGUGGUAGCUAGAGCAGGUGAAUGUCCGUGGCUGCUAGCUACAAGCAUCAAGUAAUCGUACCAAGAUUGCUUGGGUGUCGUGGUCCGAUAAGCAUCAAACAUUUGUAUGCCGAUUGGUAACAGGCUGAUUUAGAGUGGAUAAUCUACCGGUUUUGGGACUGACUUCAACAAGUAAAAAUUUAUGGGUAGUCAAGGUCAUGAUUCUGAACGAAGAGAGUGGAUCUUGAAUAGUAAAGAUGGUACUGCCCCAUAUAACUACAGUGCAAUUAUACUGGAGCAUGCAGAUUUAAAAGAUAUCAAGAAUGAAGAAUGAUGUUCUGGAUCUGUGCAAUGAUGACAUUAACAGGGGAAUUGCAUAAAUGGGUGUCGAUGUGGGGCGUAGGAGGCACAGAGAUGAUGCUGAUCGCCAGCGAUUAGCAGUCGAGGAGCGGUACCCCGGCCUGCGCCUGAGCUACAAUAGCAUGUUACCAUUGAUAACAUGAGCUAUUGCUAAUGGUCUGCUGACUAAUGUACUGACAACUUGAAAUCAUCUUUUCUUUAAACUUAGUGGUAAUUUAUCAAGGAAAGAUAUAUAUUUGUUGGUCAGUUGCUCAGUUCCAGGGAUGGAAUCUGGCUUGCUUGCUGCUUUGCCAUAAGCCGCUUUUGUUUGCGACUGAAUUUAGCUCAUAAUAGCUCAAAAUGAAAGAAAAAAGUCGUUUUAUAUUGUGA
Molecule: ribosomal RNA, 1651 nt
Filed under: Triticum aestivum (bread wheat)
Lineage: Eukaryota; Viridiplantae; Streptophyta; Magnoliopsida; Poales; Poaceae
Description: partial small subunit ribosomal RNA
Source: RNAcentral